AUUCCAGCUCCAAUAGCGUAUAUUAAAAUUGUUGCAGUUAAAAAGCUCGUAGUUGGAUCUGCGGUUAGGGCUUGCGGUCCACCACGCGGUGGCACUGCUCGUCCCGACCUACGUCGAAUUGACCCGCGUUGCUCUUCACUGAGUGACCGGGAAGGCUCGAACGUUUACUUUGAAAAAAUUAGAGUGUUCAUAGCAGGCAGUCCGCCCGAAUAAUGUUGCAUGGAAUAAUGGAAUAGGACCUCGGUUCUAUUUUGUUGGUUUUCGGAAUUGAGGUAAUGAUUAAUAGGGACGGCCGGGGGCAUUCGUAUUACGGUGUUAGAGGUGAAACUCUGGGAUCAUCGUAAGACGAACUACAGCGAAAGCAUUUGCCAAGAAUGUUUUCAUCA
This 386-nucleotide ribosomal RNA is filed under the name Nemertea sp. RNAcentral's name for it is "partial small subunit ribosomal RNA". It matches the Rfam family "Eukaryotic small subunit ribosomal RNA", at positions 582 to 975 of the family's 1831-position model. The record is from RNAcentral. Lineage: Eukaryota; Metazoa; Nemertea.